This 523-nucleotide ribosomal RNA is filed under the name uncultured phototrophic eukaryote. RNAcentral describes it as "SSU rRNA". It matches the Rfam family "Bacterial small subunit ribosomal RNA", at positions 338 to 875 of the family's 1533-position model. The record is from RNAcentral.
CCUACGGGAGGCAGCAGUGAGGAAUUUUCCGCAAUGGGCGAAAGCCUGACGGAGCAAUGCCGCGUGGAGGAUGAAAGCCUGUGGGUCGUAAACUCCUUUUCUCAGAGAAGAAAUUUUGACGGUAUCUGAGGAAUAAGCAUCGGCUAACUCCGUGCCAGCAGCCGCGGUAAGACGGGGGAUGCAAGUGUUAUCCGGAAUAAUUGGGCGUAAAGCGUCUGUAGGUGGCUUACCAAGUCUGUUGUUAAAAAUCAGGGCUUAACCCUGAUCCGGCAACAGAAACUAGUAGGCUUGAGUACGGUAGAGGCAGAGGGAAUUCUCGGUGUAGUGGUGAAAUACGUAGAUAUCGAGAAGAACACCAAUAGCGAAAGCACUCUGCUGGGCCGAAACUGACAUUGAGAGACGAAAGCUAGGGGAGCGAAAGGGAUUAGAUACCCCUCUAGUCCUAGCCGUAAACGAUGGAUACUAAGUGCUGUGCGACUCAAACCGUCCAGUGCUGUAGCUAACGCGUGAAGUAUCCCGCCUG